GAUAAAGACAGAGUUUUAAACAUGUGCAAAGGUUUUGAGGAACAAGAAAGAAGAAGAGACGACGGAGGAUGCCGGAGUAUCAGAGCUCCGGUAAGCUGCGAUCUCUGCGGUGACAACGCAGCCGUGUAUUGUGAAGCAGACACUGCUUUCCUCUGUAGGAAAUGCGAUCGAUGGGUCCACUUUGCGAAUUUUCUUGCUCGGAGACAUCUCCGGCGCGUGAUCUGCACAACUUGCCGGAGAUUAACUCAUCGUUUUCUUGUCGGAGAUAAUUUCAGUGUCGUCUUACCAGAGUCCAAAGAUAAAGAUACGAAUUGAAGAAGAUUGUAGAGUCAUUACAAAGUCACCUUUGUCUUUCUAUGUUCUAAUUUUUAGUUUCCUUCUCGUAGUUUGUUAGUUUUUGUGUUUUAUUUCCUUUCUAAAGAAGUAAAGAUUGAAGUUAAAAUUAAAGAAAGAGAAGACUCGCCAGUGACCAAGAUGGAUAGUAACCACAGCUUUGUUUAUCUAUUAGUAAAAUAAGCUUUUAGACUCCCCAAACAAUAAGAGCACCUUCGUUGGAGGCUUUUAGAAAGGGUUCUAAAAAAAAACCAAUAAAAAUAAAUGAGAAAGAAAAUAAAACCAAAGAACUGGUGCCAAACUAAGGGGUUUUGGAACCACUAGACACCCCAUACGUGCUCUGUUCUUAUUGGCCGCCUCUCUCUCUUCAUGGUUUUUUUUGUGUCUGAGAAAUCUAGUGUUGUUGCUCUCGUUCUCCAAAUCCGUUCAUUGAAAUCACUUUGUAGGUUCGAAUUAUUUGAGUUUUUGUAUUGAUUUGAAGCUUGUGAAUCUCGUUGGAAGUAAAAUUUGGUUUUGCUGAUGAGAUUAGCUUUAAUGAUGAAAUUUGAGAUUAGCUUUGACUUUGUAUUUGUUUGUAUAGAGAUAGCUUCUCACAUGAAAGUAAUUGGGCGUGAUUGAGUUUCCAGAUGGAUUACCUCCUACUACGUCGACAAGGAAAAAGGAGAAUCUUUCAGAGAUGGAGCAGCAACUGAAGAAGGCAGAAGCUGCUCAAAGGCGAAAAGUUCAGAUUCUGAAGGCUGCAAGAGAGUCCGAGGCAGAGGCCAUUAGAAAAAUUCUAGGACAGGAUUCGAGCAGGAAGAAGCGUGAAGACAAAAUUAAAAACGACUUGAUGAAUUGGCUCAGCGUUGAUGAAUUGAUAACAGGAGAAAACUGCACAUGAGGAAAGGGCCUCAACAAGCUACAUCAAGACAAUAAUGGGUCCUAAUGGAACAACUGUUUCAUUUCCCAUUGACAAAGUGCCUAGCCUGUUUGAUCCCAAACCAUCUGGUCUCAAAUGUUACAAGGCAGUUCAAAGGCAGUUCAGGAGCAGCAUCAGUAGCAGACUGCACCGGUUUAGAUAUUGAUUUGAUUUUUUCUGAUACAAAAGGUCAAGAACUCAGCUCUCUGAGUUUAUAGAGAUUACAGGACAUGUUUUAGUUUUUCUUUUGCUUUGCUUCAGACUUGUCUGAUUGGAUAUAGUUCAUUUUUCAUAUGUGAGAUUAGCUCAUGUUUAUUUGAAUUUUUAU
Brassica oleracea var. oleracea is the source of this 1559-nucleotide RNA transcript. It is a transcript of the gene named B-box zinc finger protein 32, with no coding region annotated. The transcript is spliced from 5 exons. NCBI's taxonomy places the organism in Eukaryota, Viridiplantae, Streptophyta, Magnoliopsida, Brassicales, Brassicaceae. The record is from RefSeq and is a predicted model, not a curated record.